AUUGACGCUGGCGGCAGACCUGACACAUGCAAGUCGAGCGGCAGCACAGAGAAACUUGUUUCUCGGGUGGCGAGCGGCGGACGGGUGAGUAAUGCCUGGGAAAUUGCCCUGAUGUGGGGGAUAACCAUUGGAAACGAUGGCUAAUACCGCAUAAUAGCUUCGGCUCAAAGAGGGGGACCUUCGGGCCUCUCGCGUCAGGAUAUGCCCAGGUGGGAUUAGCUAGUUGGUGAGGUAAUGGCUCACCAAGGCGACGAUCCCUAGCUGGUCUGAGAGGAUGAUCAGCCACACUGGAACUGAGACACGGUCCAGACUCCUACGGGAGGCAGCAGUGGGGAAUAUUGCACAAUGGGCGCAAGCCUGAUGCAGCCAUGCCGCGUGUGUGAAGAAGGCCUUCGGGUUGUAAAGCACUUUCAGUCGUGAGGAAGGUGGUGUUGUUAAUAGCAGCAUCAUUUGACGUUAGCGACAGAAGAAGCACCGGCUAACUCCGUGC
This 490-nucleotide ribosomal RNA is filed under the name marine proteobacterium 'Bird Shoal sa3'. Its description in RNAcentral is "bacterial SSU rRNA". It matches the Rfam family "Bacterial small subunit ribosomal RNA", at positions 29 to 508 of the family's 1533-position model. Lineage: Bacteria; Pseudomonadati; Pseudomonadota; Gammaproteobacteria; Vibrionales; Vibrionaceae. The record is from RNAcentral.